Molecule: non-coding RNA, 115 nt
Organism: Acanthosepion pharaonis
Lineage: Eukaryota; Metazoa; Mollusca; Cephalopoda; Sepiida; Sepiidae
Source: the annotation of a GenBank genome assembly
UUACGGUCAAAUCACGCUGAGAACACCGGUUCUCGUUCGAUCACCGAAGUUAAGCAUCGUAGAGCCAGGUCAGUACUUAGAUGGGGGACCGCUUGGGAACACCUGGUACUGUAAG